Molecule: ribosomal RNA, 468 nt
Filed under: uncultured bacterium
Lineage: Bacteria
Description: partial 16S ribosomal RNA
Rfam family: Bacterial small subunit ribosomal RNA
Source: RNAcentral
GACGAACGCUGGCGGCGUGCUUAAUACAUGCAAGUCGAACGGAAAGGCGCUGCGUUUGUGGGGUGCUCGAGUGGCGAACGGGGGAGUAACACGUGAGUAACCUGCCCCUGACAUAGGGAUAACUUCUGGGAACUGGGGCUAAUACCGGAGAGGAGCUCCUGCUGCGUGGUGUGGGUUGGAAAGUUUCGGCGGUUGGGGAUGGACUCGCGGCUUAUCAGCUUGUUGGUGGGGUAGUGGCUUACCAGGGCUUCGACGGGUAGCCGGCCUGAGAGGGUGACCGGCGACAUUGGGACUGCGAUACGGCCCAGACUCCUACGGGAGGCAGCAGUGGGGAAUAUUGCACAAUGGGCGGAAGCCUGAUGCAGCAACGCCGCGUGCGGGAUGACGGCCUUCGGGUUGUAAACCGCUUUCGCCUGUGACGAAGAGUGAGUGACGGUAAUGGGUAAAGAAGCACCGGCUAACUACGUG